AAAUACAUAUUUAUAUAAAUGUUGCCUCAAAUGAGUCAUAAACCAUGCACCAUCCAAAAUAAGCCAUUCAGUUACAAUACUAGUGAUUUCCCAUCCACAAUAGAGAGUAGUAAAGUUCUAUACAAAAAUAUGAGCACGAUUCCCAUCUAGAACAAAACAUGAGCACGAUAGGCCUUGUAGUCUUCAAAUCAAAAACCAUCUUCACAGCAAUGACUGGCUUCUUCUUCUUGGGAAUCGUGUUAGAACCUACACGUUACCAAAAUUGAAGCAAUGAGCACUAGUGUUAAAACUGGAACUACACUUCUAGAUAGGCACCAUAUUAUAAAAACUAAUGUCACUCUAAUUUGAAAUUAUAGCAAUCUAAGUAAAUUGCUUAACACAAAAAUAAAGUGAAAUUAUAGCAAAUAAGACAUUGAAUGUAUAUUCUGUGAAAUAUAGAAUAACAAUACAAACACAAUAAAUAUCUGCAUGUUCACAAAUAUAUAUGCAAUAACAAUAACAAUAACAACAACAAAAUCCUAAAAUCAUUGAGAGCCUAGAUGAUCGUGAACCACACAGUAUAUCAAGAAAAAAAAACACACACACACACACAAUCACAGGUGCCUCUUUUUCCUUAGCACAAAAAAAAAAUUCUGAUACAGAAAAAUUUAGAUGAGUUCGACAAAGAAAAAAGUGGAAUACAUCCCAAAGUGAAAAACCAUCUCAAAAGGGGAACUCACGAAACCUAACUGUUGCCUCAAUGAGACUUGCCAAAUUAAUUUAAAAGGAAAAAUAUUUCAACUAGCCGCAAAGUUAUGUUUCAAGAAGCCACAUAGGCAUACUCCCGCCUGAGAGCCACAAAGUUAUGUUUGAAGUAGAAGGCAACUGCUCUUACCUUCAAGACAUAUUAAAGUGCAGAAAAAGCAAAGUGUACAUAUGCCACAUAUAAUAACUUUGACUGUCUUUAGCAAUUAAGAGAUGAAAUAGCUAUGCUAAAAAUAUUUGUAGAUAAAUUAUACUUCCACUUGGAGCAGUAGAUGCAAUAUAACGCAUUUUGAGAGAUGACAGGACAAAGGAACCUAAACCAAUCCCAUCUAUUACAUCUCAAUGUGCUUUGACUGCCAGUGUCAUGAUCAGCAGCUCAGGGUAAAUUAGUAUACAAAAAUGUUUCCAUGGUAGUAAGGUACAGGAGUAACAGGACAACCUCUGUCCAGGUGCAUCCAUUAGUUUUGCAGCUGGAUAGGCAUAAUCAAUGAGAUCAACAGAACACAAAGCUCAGAAGGUGCAUUUACAAAGACAUGCAUGUUAUUUCAAUCUAUUACUGAACUUUGCAACCAUAUAUCCUUUUGAUCUGUGUCUAAGGGGCUAAAAUUACAAAAAGUAGAGAGAUUGAAACGAAGUGAAAUUCAAGGCAUAGACUAAGAAUGAAACAUUAAUUCCAGAGAACUGGUUUGUCAAGAUUGUAAAAAUGUUCUUACGGUAUAGCCCCUUCAAAUAUGGAUGCUGACCACGAUUAAGCUCAGUUACCACCUCCAGCUGGGGAUUGAUCUCUUUAAAUGCUGGCAAAUGAGAUUCCAUGAAAGCCCUGGUGUGUUACGGACAUGGUUAGUCCUUUCAUUGCGCUAGAAGACGACAGGAAUCUACAACUUUUUAUUUCAUACUCUCUCCCAUUUAGAUUAAAGAGAAUUGUCCUUCAUCAUUAAGAUUAUAUUAAUGAUAUUUUUCUUAUCAAAAUUGCUUUUCUUUUGGUGGAACUGUGCUUGUAAACUAGCAGAUAACUAAUCUAAAGCAGGGAAAACUCGCUUUUUAUAUAAGCUAAACAAAUUGUAUUAUAAGACCACGUCCUGGACAGUCAAAAUGCCAUUCAAAAGCAGCAACAAUGCCAAGUAGACUAUAAUUUAACCAUUCCUUUAAUACAUAUUUAAAAGAUUCGACAGAAAUAGUAGCAUAGGAACUUGCACUGUCAAGUUGGAAUUGGCCCAGAU
Molecule: long non-coding RNA, 1964 nt
Filed under: Coffea arabica (coffee)
Lineage: Eukaryota; Viridiplantae; Streptophyta; Magnoliopsida; Gentianales; Rubiaceae
Description: long non-coding RNA (CARA_LNC006845)
Source: RNAcentral